RNAcentral lists this ribosomal RNA (253 nucleotides) under uncultured bacterium. RNAcentral's name for it is "partial 16S ribosomal RNA". It matches the Rfam family "Bacterial small subunit ribosomal RNA", at positions 524 to 776 of the family's 1533-position model. The record is from RNAcentral.
UACGAAGGGGGCUAGCGUUGCUCGGAAUUACUGGGCGUAAAGGGAGCGUAGGCGGACAGUUUAGUCAGAGGUGAAAUCCCGGGGCUCAACCUCGGAACUGCCUUUGAUACUGGCUGUCUUGAGUAUGGGAGAGGUGUGUGGAACUCCGAGUGUAGAGGUGAAAUUCGUAGAUAUUCGGAAGAACACCAGUGGCGAAGGCGACACACUGGCCCAUUACUGACGCUGAGGCUCGAAAGCGUGGGGAGCAAACAGG